UUGGAGGGCAAGUCUGGUGCCAGCAGCCGCGGUAAUUCCAGCUCCAAUAGCGUAUAUUAAAGUUGUUGCAGUUAAAAAGCCCGUAGUUGAAUUUCGGGGUCAGUAGGUUGGUCAUGCCACUGGUAUGUACUGGUCUCACUGAUUCCUCCUUCCUGAUGAACUGUAAUGCCAUUAAUUUGGUGUUGCAGGGAAUCUGGACUGUUACUUUGAAAAAAUUAGAGUGUUUAAAGCAGGCUAACGCCUGAAUACAUUAGCAUGGAGUAAUGAAAUAGGACGUUCGAUCCUAUUUUGUUGGUUUCUAGGAUUGACGUAAUGAUUAAUAGGGAUAGUUGGGGGCAUUAGUAUUCAAUUGUCAGAGGUGAAAUUCUUGGAUUUAUUGAAGACUAACUACUGCGAAAGCAUUUGCCAAGGAUGUUUUCAUUAAUCAAGAACGAAAGUUAGGGGAUCGAAGACGAUCAGAUACCGUCGUAGUCUUAACCAUAAACUAUGCCGACUAGGGAUCGGAUGAUGUUAAUUUUUUAAUGACUCAUUCGGCGCCUUACGGGAAACCAAAGUGUUUGGGUUC
This 565-nucleotide ribosomal RNA is filed under the name uncultured Glomeromycotina. RNAcentral describes it as "SSU rRNA". It matches the Rfam family "Eukaryotic small subunit ribosomal RNA", at positions 548 to 1114 of the family's 1831-position model. Lineage: Eukaryota; Fungi; Glomeromycota. The record is from RNAcentral.